This 83-nucleotide transfer RNA is filed under the name Hippoglossus stenolepis (Pacific halibut). Its description in RNAcentral is "tRNA-Leu". It matches the Rfam family "tRNA". Rfam says of the family: Transfer RNA (tRNA) molecules are approximately 80 nucleotides in length. Their secondary structure includes four short double-helical elements and three loops (D, anti-codon, and T loops). The record is from RNAcentral. Lineage: Eukaryota; Metazoa; Chordata; Actinopteri; Pleuronectiformes; Pleuronectidae.
ACCAGGAUGGCCGAGAGGUUAAGGCGUUGGACUUAAGAUCCAAUGGGCUUAUGCCCGCGUGGGUUCGACCCCCACUCCUGGUA